ACUCUUCCCCAAAAACAAAAACCAGAGUAGUAUAAACCCAAAAUCGAAACUUAAAGAACUUGGCGGUUUUCUAAACCUUUUUGGAGGAGCUUGUCAUCCAAUUGAUACCCCACAAGAAACCUCACCAGUUUUAGAAACAGCCUGUAUACCAUCGUCGCCAGCUUACCUUAAAGAACGUAAGCAAAAAGAAAAACUCCAAACGCCAGAUCAAGGUGCAGCCAAUAAACUGGGGAUAGAUGAGCUACCCUACUUAAAAACAGAGGAAUUUACCCUGAAAAAACAAAAGAAAAAGGAUUCAACAGUAAUUUUUUAAAGAAAUACAAAAUGAAACAAGCUCUAGAAUGCGU
RNAcentral lists this ribosomal RNA (347 nucleotides) under Aslia pygmaea. RNAcentral describes it as "partial 12S ribosomal RNA". Lineage: Eukaryota; Metazoa; Echinodermata; Holothuroidea; Dendrochirotida; Cucumariidae. The record is from RNAcentral.